UGGUGGAGUGAUUUGUCUGGUUAAUUCCGAUAACGAACGAGACCUCGACCUGCUAAAUAGUACCCAGGAAUUUCGGUUCCUUGGGGACUUCUUAGAGGGACUAUUAGUUCAAUCUAAUGGAAGUUCGAGGCAAUAACA
RNAcentral lists this ribosomal RNA (138 nucleotides) under uncultured eukaryote. RNAcentral's name for it is "partial 18S ribosomal RNA". It matches the Rfam family "Eukaryotic small subunit ribosomal RNA", at positions 1299 to 1458 of the family's 1831-position model. The record is from RNAcentral.